This 463-nucleotide ribosomal RNA is filed under the name uncultured bacterium. RNAcentral's name for it is "partial 16S ribosomal RNA". It matches the Rfam family "Bacterial small subunit ribosomal RNA", at positions 28 to 507 of the family's 1533-position model. The record is from RNAcentral.
GACGAACGCUGGCGGCGUGCUUAACACAUGCAAGUCGAACGGAAAGGCCUUUUCGGAGGUACUCGAGUGGCGAACGGGUGAGUAACACGUGGGUGAUCUGCCCUGCACUCUGGGAUAAGCCUGGGAAACUGGGUCUAAUACCGGAUAGGACCGCACUUUAGUGUGUGUGGUGGAAAGUUUUUUCGGUGUAGGAUGAGCCCGCGGCCUAUCAGCUUGUUGGUGGGGUAAUGGCCUACCAAGGCGGCGACGGGUAGCCGGACUGAGAGGUUGGUCGGCCACAGUGGGACUGAGAUACGGCCCAGAAUCCGACGGGAGGCAGCAGUGGGGAAUAUUGCACAAUGGGCGCAAGCCUGAUGCAGCGACGCCGCGUGGGGGAUGACGGCCUUCGGGUUGUAAACUCCUUUCGCCAGGGACGAAGCGUUUUGUGACGGUACCUGGAGAAGAAGCACCGGCUAACUACGUG